Molecule: long non-coding RNA, 1756 nt
Organism: Perognathus longimembris pacificus (Pacific pocket mouse)
Lineage: Eukaryota; Metazoa; Chordata; Mammalia; Rodentia; Heteromyidae
Exons: 3
Source: RefSeq, a predicted model, not a curated record
CUUCUAGUGUUCUACGAAUGUCAUUGCUUUUGAAUAGUUGAAAAUUUGUAUAAUUUUUUUACGUGUUAGAAAUUAGAGGAAAAUAAUUCACUCAACCUGACUCAUCUCCCAUGACAGUGGAUAUUUGAAUCUGAUAAUUUCAUCAGUGGUAAAAAUAAAACUAAAAAGCUUUUAAACUUAUUUGGGGCUCACUCAGGGGAUACUAAAAUAAUUCAAAUUAGAUCAUUUUUAUGCAAAGAAGGGAUUAAUUAGAGAAAUGAAAUUGCCAGUUCAGCCUAUGCUACCUUUUCACUAACACAUGUAAAAUCCUGAUCAAUGGAGAGGAUGUUUUAAAGCCUGAAGAAACUUACCAUAAAUCAGAAUGGCUAACCCAUUUCUCAUUAUUAGUUAAUCCCUUUUAUCCUUUAAAUGCUUACUGUUUUUUAAAGUCUUUUCAUAUAAGGAAGCAAUCCAGGAUUUGGCUGAGAGCCACUGGCUCAUGCCUGCUAUCCAAGAUACAUAGAAGGCUGAGGUCUGGAAGGUUGGGGUUCAAAGCCAUCCUGGGUAGAAAAAGCCCACAAGACCCAAGCAACAAGCUAAAGCUAUUUCUCAAGUGGUAUAUCACCAGCCAAGUAAGCAAGUCAAGGUAGUGCAAGACUACUGAAUCCAAGCUACUAUAGUAUCAGAUAAAGGAAAAGUCUCAGUUUCUAAAAGCAUCCAUGGCUAUACUGCUAGACAUAGAACUUUGGUAGAGCCUUGAUUUGAAACUCCUUAGCAGGGAAAUCUUCCUAGUCUACCACAAAUGUGGCCAAGAUAUGUUUUUUUUAUUUUUAAAUUUUGAGGAAUGAUUUUGUUAUUUCAUAUAGCUAAAUAGAGAAAUAGGGGGCUUUACAUUCCUUUUUGAAGACCUUCAAUUUUACAUGAUAGUAUAUGAUUUGAUGUAUAAUUAUCAGGGUAAAAUGGUUGGGUGUUUGUAAAGUGGUUGUAUAGAUUGGAUAUGUUGAAAUCAACACUGAACACUAGGUGGCACUCCUCUACCAUUGGAUAUAUUAUCUCAGGAAACUAUGAUAGGCCCGACUUUUUUUUUUUUUUUUUUUUUUUUCGGUAGGUCCAUGUCAACAGAACCUUCUCUGUUUUCUUAUAUCAAGUGUCUGUUUAAGAUCUGGCUACAUUUUAAUUUGAAAAUAACAGGUGCAUAGGUUCUGCAUUUUGAAUUAAUCCAUUCAGUAAGUAUUCAGUGACAUCUCUUAUAUGCCAUAUGGAUACCUAGUCCUUUUUGUUAUACUCUUGAAUAAAACCGACAUUUUAUUAGGAGAAAAGUUCAGUAAAAAUAAGCAUGUUAAAUAUGAUGUGCAUGAUGUUUAAGGUUAUUUAAUGCCACCUAGAAAAAUGAGUAGGAUAAUGAGGGUAAUGAAUAUUGGGAGCACUGACAACGGUGGUGAAUACAAUUUAAAGGGAGAUUGCCAAGGUCAGUCUUGUAUAGAAGUUGAUGAUGAUAGAACAGAGCUUUGAAGGUGAAAAUGGAUGACCUAUACAUAUAUUGGAAGAAAGUAGGACAGCCAGUGGAAAGGCUCUUAGGUGGUAGCAUGCCAUGUAUUCAAGUCAUUGCCUGGAUAGGACAAUAUAAGCAAGAGUGAUAGUUCCAUCAGACAGAUAAUUGGAUACUAUUAGAUCUCAAAGAACUUUGUGGGUCAUAAAAGAGGGUUGACAUUACCUUCACAGAAAUAUGAGGUCAGAGUCUGCAAAUUUUAAGCAUAAAGAAGUCACUCACUUACUA